RNAcentral lists this ribosomal RNA (460 nucleotides) under uncultured bacterium. RNAcentral's name for it is "partial 16S ribosomal RNA". It matches the Rfam family "Bacterial small subunit ribosomal RNA", at positions 357 to 810 of the family's 1533-position model. The record is from RNAcentral.
UGGGAAUUUGGACAAUGGGCAACCGUGAUCCAGCAAUGCCGCGUGUGUGAAGAAGGCCUUCGGGUUGUAAAGCACUUUUGUCCGGAAAGAAAACGCCGUGGUUAAUACCCGUGGCGGAUGACGGUACCGGAAGAAUAAGCACCGGCUAACUACGUGCCAGCAGCCGCGGUAAUACGUAGGGUGCAAGCGUUAAUCGGAAUUACUGGGCGUAAAGCGUGCGCAGGCGGUCCGCUAAGACAGAUGUGAAAUCCCCGGGCUUAACCUGGGAACUGCAUUUGUGACUGGCGGGCUAGAGUAUGGCAGAGGGGGGUAGAAUUCCACGUGUAGCAGUGAAAUGCGUAGAGAUGUGGAGGAAUACCGAUGGCGAAGGCAGCCCCCUGGGCCAAUACUGACGCUCAUGCACGAAAGCGUGGGGGAGCAAACAGGAUUAGAUACCCUGGUAGUCCACGCCCUAAACGAU